RNAcentral lists this unclassified non-coding RNA (403 nucleotides) under soil metagenome. RNAcentral describes it as "partial contains 5.8S ribosomal RNA, internal transcribed spacer 2, and large subunit ribosomal RNA". The stretch from base 1 to 121 matches the Rfam family "5.8S ribosomal RNA", at positions 35 to 154 of the family's 154-position model. The record is from RNAcentral.
GAUGAAAACGUAGCAAAAUGCGAUACUUGGUGUGAAUUGCAGAAUCCCGUGAACCAUCGAGUUUUUGAACGCAAGUUGCGCCCGAAGCCUUUUGGCCGAGGGCACGUCUGCCUGGGCGUCACGCAUCGCGUCGCCCCCCACAAUUCUCCGUAAAGGGAACAUGUGUUUUGGGGGCGGAUAUUGGUCUCCCGUGCUCAUGGCGUGGUUGGCCGAAAUAGGAGUCCUUUCGAUGGACGCACGAACUAGUGGUGGUCGUAAAAACCCUCGUCUUUUGUUUCGUGCUGUUGCUCGCAAGGUAAACUCUUUAAAAACCCCAAUGUGUCGUCUCUUGACGACGCUUCGACCGCGACCCCAGGUCAGGCGGGACUACCCGCUGAGUUUAAGCAUAUCAAUAAGCGGAGGA